GUCGUAAGCAGGAAGACGUACCCUUUGUACUAGACUCUCUCUCCAGCGAACCCACGUAGGAGCUCUGGAUAAGGUUGAACUAGUUGGGCAGGCACAUCCAACUUUGUAAAAGCACAUCCAACUUUGUAAAAGCGUGCCAAUACAAGAUAUUUGUCGAGCUACCUUGGUCCACAAGGAUCUUAUGGACCCACCAAUUGGCUAUUGUUGCAGUGAUAACCACCGGGUCGUCUUGGUUUGGGUCGCUUAGGGAGAAAUCUUCGUCGGAAAACACUAUGGGUGACAAGCUCCGAGGUGGAAAAUUACUUACAGAGUUUAUACUUAUCCGAUAUCUUUUCGGGGUAGCUUAGGAGCUUCCUCCUCUUGCAGAACCUUCGACGAUUGUAUGGAUGCUUCCCCUUGGCUGGGUCGAGCUAGGCUGAACAACCUGGCUACGUAUGGUCGGUUGCACAUUGACAGGGUUGUAGACGAGGAUCAAGAAGGAGCCUUGUGUAUGGUAGAUGAGAACAAAGAUGAAGAACACAGUGGUUGAAAGAUGAAGACGAGUUUUGAAGCUGGAGAAGAUGAA
RNAcentral lists this small RNA (565 nucleotides) under Vigna angularis var. angularis. Its description in RNAcentral is "Non-protein coding transcript". Lineage: Eukaryota; Viridiplantae; Streptophyta; Magnoliopsida; Fabales; Fabaceae. The record is from RNAcentral.